Molecule: ribosomal RNA, 450 nt
Filed under: uncultured bacterium
Lineage: Bacteria
Description: bacterial SSU rRNA
Rfam family: Bacterial small subunit ribosomal RNA
Source: RNAcentral
GUCCCAGACUCCUACGGGAGGCAGCAGUGGGGAAUAUUGCACAAUGGGGGAAACCCUGAUGCAGCGACGCCGCGUGAGCGAUGAAGUAUUUCGGUAUGUAAAGCUCUAUCAGCAGGGAAGAAGAUGACGGUACCUGACUAAGAAGCCCCGGCUAACUACGUGCCAGCAGCCGCGGUAAUACGUAGGGGGCAAGCGUUAUCCGGAUUUACUGGGUGUAAAGGGAGCGUAGACGGCAGUGCAAGUCUGAAGUGAAAGGCGGGGGCCCAACCCCCGAACUGCUUUGGAAACUGUGCUGCUGGAGUGCAGGAGAGGCAAGUGGAAUUCCUAGUGUAGCGGUGAAAUGCGUAGAUAUUAGGAGGAACACCAGUGGCGAAGGCGACGUUCUGGACGGUACCUGACGCUGAGGCGCGAAAGCGUGGGGAGCGAACGGGAUUAGAUACCCCCGUAUAU